CCUACGGGAGGCAGCAGUGGGGAAUAUUGCACAAUGGGGGAAACCCUGAUGCAGCGACGCCGCGUGAGUGAAGAAGUAUCUCGGUACGUAAAGCUCUAUCAGCAGGGAAGAAAAUGACGGUACCUGACUAAGAAGCCCCGGCUAACUACGUGCCAGCAGCCGCGGUAAUACGUAGGGGGCAAGCGUUAUCCGGAUUUACUGGGUGUAAAGGGAGCGUAGACGGCAGGACAAGUCUGGAGUGAAAUCCCGGGGCUUAACCCCGGAACUGCUUUGGAAACUGUGCGGCUGGAGUGCAGGGGAGGUAAGCGGAAUUCCUGGUGUAGCGGUGAAAUGCGUAGAUAUCAGGAGGAACACCGGCGGCGAAGGCGGCUUACUGGACUGUAACUGACGUUGAGGCUCGAAGGCGUGGGGAGCAAACAGGAUUAGAUACCCGUGUAGUC
This 440-nucleotide ribosomal RNA is filed under the name uncultured bacterium. RNAcentral describes it as "partial 16S ribosomal RNA". It matches the Rfam family "Bacterial small subunit ribosomal RNA", at positions 338 to 795 of the family's 1533-position model. The record is from RNAcentral.